This 356-nucleotide ribosomal RNA is filed under the name Candidatus Magasanikbacteria bacterium RIFCSPLOWO2_02_FULL_44_11. RNAcentral's name for it is "bacterial SSU rRNA". It matches the Rfam family "Bacterial small subunit ribosomal RNA", at positions 723 to 1070 of the family's 1533-position model. Lineage: Bacteria; Candidatus Magasanikiibacteriota. The record is from RNAcentral.
AGCUCACUGGUACGUUUCUGACACUCAUGGACGAAAGCGUGGGGAGCAAACAGGAUUAGAUACCCUGGUAGUCCACGCCCUAAACGAUGCGAACUAGGUAUUGGCAGUAUCGACCCUGUCAGUGCCGUUUAAAAAAGCUAACGCGUUAAGUUCGCCGCCUGGGGAGUACGGCCGCAAGGCUAAAACUCAAAGAAAUAGACGGGGACCCGCACAAGCGGUGGAGCAUGUGGUUUAAUUCGAUGGUAAACGGGGAACCUUACCUGGGCUCAACUACUAGCUGCAAGCUUCCAGAAACGGAAGCCGCCUUCGAGGGUGCUAGAUAGGUGCUGCAUGGUUGCCGUCAGCUCGUGCCGUGA